This 393-nucleotide unclassified non-coding RNA is filed under the name soil metagenome. RNAcentral describes it as "partial contains 5.8S ribosomal RNA, internal transcribed spacer 2, and large subunit ribosomal RNA". The stretch from base 1 to 122 matches the Rfam family "5.8S ribosomal RNA", at positions 35 to 154 of the family's 154-position model. The record is from RNAcentral.
GAUGAAGAACGCAGCGAAAUGCGAUACUUGGUGUGAAUUGCAGAAUCCCGUGAACCAUCGAGUCUUUGAACGCAAGUUGCGCCCGAAGCCACUAGGCCGAGGGCACGCCUGCCUGGGCGUCACACGUCGUUGCCCCCCCCCCAUCUACUCCUUCGGGAUUGCGGGGGGCGGAUGAUGGCCUCCCGUGCGCCUAGCCGCGCGGUUGGCAUAAAUACCAAGUCCUCGGCGACGCACGCCACGACAAUCGGUGGUUGCGAAACCUCGGUUGCCCGUCGUGUGCGUUCGUCGCGCAUCGAGGGCUCGAAAAAAUGCUCGGCUCCGGCUCGGCUUUCAACGCGACCCCAGGUCAGGCGGGGUUACCCGCUGAGUUUAAGCAUAUCAAUAAGCGGAGGA